RNAcentral lists this ribosomal RNA (410 nucleotides) under uncultured Gammaproteobacteria bacterium. RNAcentral describes it as "bacterial SSU rRNA". It matches the Rfam family "Bacterial small subunit ribosomal RNA", at positions 9 to 429 of the family's 1533-position model. Lineage: Bacteria; Pseudomonadati; Pseudomonadota; Gammaproteobacteria. The record is from RNAcentral.
GAGUUUGAUCGUGGCUCAGAUUGAACGCUGGCGGCAGGCCUAACACAUGCAAGUCGGGCGAUUUUGGCUUCGGUCAGAAGAGCGGCGAACGGGUGAGUAACACGUAGGAAUCUGCCUGGUAGUGGGGGACAACGUUCCGAAAGGAACGCUAAUACCGCAUACGCCCUACGGGGGAAAGCUGGGGAUCUUCGGACCUAGCGCUAUCAGAUGAGCCUGCGUCGGAUUAGCUAGUUGGCGGGGUAAAGGCCCACCAAGGCGACGAUCCGUAACUGGUCUGAGAGGAUGAUCAGUCACACCGGAACUGAGACACGGUCCGGACUCCUACGGGAGGCAGCAGUGGGGAAUAUUGGACAAUGGGGGCAACCCUGAUCCAGCCAUGCCGCGUGUGUGAAGAAGGCCUCGGUUGUAAG